Molecule: transfer RNA, 73 nt
Filed under: Bacteroides sp. 44_46
Lineage: Bacteria; Pseudomonadati; Bacteroidota; Bacteroidia; Bacteroidales; Bacteroidaceae
Description: tRNA-Val
Rfam family: tRNA (bases 1-64)
About the family: Transfer RNA (tRNA) molecules are approximately 80 nucleotides in length. Their secondary structure includes four short double-helical elements and three loops (D, anti-codon, and T loops).
Source: RNAcentral
GGGCGUUUAGCUCAGCUGGUUCAGAGCAUCUGCCUUACAAGCAGAGGGUCGGCCCAAACACUUCCGUACAUCA